Molecule: long non-coding RNA, 674 nt
Organism: Hibiscus syriacus
Lineage: Eukaryota; Viridiplantae; Streptophyta; Magnoliopsida; Malvales; Malvaceae
Exons: 3
Source: RefSeq, a predicted model, not a curated record
CAUCUGUUUAUCCUAUCAUUGAAACUUUAGAUUCUGUUAUGUCGAUGACGAUUUGUGAUCACUUCCUAACAGGGUCUUCCUCAGUCUUCAAAGCAUUUCUCAUUCAUAGUCACCGAAACUGAAGAACCGUGGAAGUUUACCAAAGAAGAUUCUGAAGAAUUGUGUUCUUUUUUUUUUAAACAAAAUGUGGAGACUCAAGAUUGCGAGAGAGAGUGUUGGCGAUGGCGAUUGUGGGGGAUGUCUAAGGAGUUUGAACAAUCAUGUGGGUCAAGUAUGGGAAUUCUGCCCUGAAUUAGCAACCCCGAAAGAGCUUUCUAAGGUGGAAAUGGCUCGUCAGAAUUUCCGGGAUAACCGUUUCCAGAAAAAAAGCACAGUUCUGAUCUUCUCAUGAGAAUUCAGUUCGCAAAGGAGAAACAAUCUAUCACUAGUUUACCAAAAAUCAAACUGAAAGAGUUCGAAGAUGUUGAGGAAGAGGCUGUAGUGACAACAUUACGCAGAGCCUAAAUAUUUAUUCAACAAUACAAGCUGAAGAUGGUCACUGGCCUGGAGAUUACGGCGGCCCUAUGUUUCUACUUCCUGGUUUGUUUAUAACAUUAUAUGUUACUGGAGCCUUGAAUACCAUCCUAUCAAAGGAGCAUCAAUAUGAGAUAGGCAGAUAUCUAUACAAUCACCAG